Molecule: ribosomal RNA, 438 nt
Filed under: uncultured bacterium
Lineage: Bacteria
Description: bacterial SSU rRNA
Rfam family: Bacterial small subunit ribosomal RNA
Source: RNAcentral
GCUUAACGCGAAGAACCUUACCUACUCUUGACAUCCAGAGAACUUAGCAGAGAUGCUUUGGUGCCUUCGGGAACUCUGAGACAGGUGCUGCAUGGCUGUCGUCAGCUCGUGUUGUGAAAUGUUGGGUUAAGUCCCGCAACGAGCGCAACCCUUAUCCUUUGUUGCCAGCGGUCCGGCCGGGAACUCAAAGGAGACUGCCAGUGAUAAACUGGAGGAAGGUGGGGAUGACGUCAAGUCAUCAUGGCCCUUACGAGUAGGGCUACACACGUGCUACAAUGGCGCAUACAAAGAGAAGCGACCUCGCGAGAGCAAGCGGACCUCAUAAAGUGCGUCGUAGUCCGGAUUGGAGUCUGCAACUCGACUCCACGAAGUCGGAAUCGCUAGUAAUCGUGGAUCAGAAUGCCACGGUGAAUACGUUCCCGGGUCUUGUACACACCG